This 513-nucleotide ribosomal RNA is filed under the name uncultured bacterium. Its description in RNAcentral is "partial 16S ribosomal RNA". It matches the Rfam family "Bacterial small subunit ribosomal RNA", at positions 30 to 523 of the family's 1533-position model. The record is from RNAcentral.
AUUGAACGCUGGCGGCAUGCCUAACACAUGCAAGUCGAACGACAGCACAGUAAAGACUUCGGUCUUUAUGGGUGGCGAGUGGCGGACGGGUGAGUAACGCGUAGGAAUCUGUCCUGGAGAGUGGGAUAACCCGAGGAAACUCGGGCUAAUACCGCAUGAUAUCGAGAGAUCAAAGGCAGGGGACCCUUCGGGGCCUUGCGCUCUAGGUUGAGCCUACGUCGGAUUAGCUAGUUGGUGGAGUAAAGGCCGACCAAGGCGACGAUCCGUAGCUGGUCUGAGAGGAUGACCAGCCACACUGGGACUGAGACACGGCCCAGACUCCUACGGGAGGCAGCAGUGGGGAAUCUUGGACAAUGGGGGAAACCCUGAUCCAGCGAUGCCGCGUGUGUGAAGAAGGCCUUCGGGUUGUAAAGCACUUUAGGUGGGGAAGAAAGGUAAUGAGUGAAUAACUGAUUGCUUUGACGGUACCCGCAGAAUAAGCACCGGCUAACUCUGUGCCAGCCGCCGCGGUAA